Molecule: ribosomal RNA, 405 nt
Filed under: uncultured bacterium
Lineage: Bacteria
Description: partial 16S ribosomal RNA
Rfam family: Bacterial small subunit ribosomal RNA
Source: RNAcentral
GACGAACGCUGGCGGCGUGCCUAAUACAUGCAAGUCGAACGAGUGGCGGACGGGUGAGUAACACGUGGGAACCUACCCAUCAGCGGGGGAUAACUACUCGAAAGAGUGGCUAAUACCGCAUACUUUUGGAGCGGCCCAUAUCGGAUUAGCUAUUUGGUGGGGUAAAGGCUCACCAAGGCAAAGAUCCGUAGCUGGUUUGAGAGGACGAUCAGCCACACUGGAACUGAGACACGGCCCAGACUCCUACGGGAGGCAGCAGUGGGGAAUUUUGGACAAUGGGGGAAACCCUGAUCGAGCCAUCCCGCGUGUAUGAGAAGGCCUUCGGGUUGUAAAGUACUUUUGGCAGAGAAGCGGUAUCUGAAGAAUAAGCACCGGCUAACUACGUGCCAGCAGCCGCGGUAAUAC